CCUACGGGUGGCAGCAGUAGGGAAUCUUUCACAAUGGGCGAAAGCCUGAUGGAGCAACGCCGCGUGCAGGAUGAAGGCCUUCGGGUGGUAAACUGCUUUUAUAAGCGAGAAAUAUGAUGGUAACUUAUGAAUAAGGAUCGGCUAACUACGUGCCAGCAGCCGCGGUCAUACGUAGGAUCCGAGCAUUAACCGGAGUGACUGGGUGUAAAGAGUUGCGUAGGUGGCAUAAUAAGUAGCUAGUGAAAUCUGGUGGCUCAACCAUUCAGACUAUUAGCUAAACUGUUAAGCUCGAGACCGUUAGGGGUAACUGGAAUGUCUAGUGUAGGAGUGAAAUCCGUAGAUAUUAGAAGGAACACCAAUAGCGUAGGCAGGUUGCUGGGACGGUUCUGACACUAAGGCACGAAAGCGUAGGGAGCAAACGGGAUUAGAUACCCCUGUAGUC
This 442-nucleotide ribosomal RNA is filed under the name uncultured bacterium. Its description in RNAcentral is "partial 16S ribosomal RNA". It matches the Rfam family "Bacterial small subunit ribosomal RNA", at positions 338 to 795 of the family's 1533-position model. The record is from RNAcentral.